Molecule: ribosomal RNA, 321 nt
Filed under: Sandonidae sp.
Lineage: Eukaryota; Cercozoa; Glissomonadida; Sandonidae
Description: SSU rRNA
Rfam family: Eukaryotic small subunit ribosomal RNA
Source: RNAcentral
GAUUUCUGGUUUGAUACAUUUAGCCGGCCACGGUUUCGUGUGUUAGCGCUAGAUGUUCUGGCCAUCCUUCCAAUCGCUAUUCACCUUUCUUCAUUGAUUGGUGAGUGGUAUUGGAUCUUUUACUUUGAAAAAAUUAGAGUGUUUAAAGCAGGCUUGUGCUGUGAAUACAUUAGCAUGGAAUAAUAAUUUAGGACUUUGGUCUUAUUUUGUUGGUUUCUAGGACUAAAGUAAUGAUUGAUAGGGAUAGUUGGGGGUGCUAGUAUUCAGCGGCCAGAGGUGAAAUUCUUGGAUUCGCUGAAGACUAACUUAUGCGAAAGCAUU